This is a long non-coding RNA of Pavo cristatus (Indian peafowl), 1879 nucleotides long. The record is from Ensembl. NCBI's taxonomy places the organism in Eukaryota, Metazoa, Chordata, Aves, Galliformes, Phasianidae.
GUACAAGCCAAUGCCACUCUUCCCCCCAACUGACGGCGUUAGGCAACCGCCAGGCCUUAUAUAGCAGCGGAAUGCGCGCGCAGCCUUUUUCUCCCCGCCCAGGCGGCCAUCCGCGGCAGCGCGUUGGGUACUCAUAACGAGACUCUAAGAAUACGGAGUUCUGAUUGGUCCAGUCGCUGCCACUCAAAUAUGGGUUUCUGUUGGCUCCGCCUAUUUGUCUGUUGAUUUUACUGUCAGGCAACCGUGACUCACACGCGCCCGCCCUACUUGCUCAGGGCGCUCCUCAUUGGCUGAAUUGAAUGAUUGAUGUCGGGCGUGAUUGGCUGCAGGCCUCAGGGAUGAGCUAACGUCAUUUGAUUGGACGAAAACGAAGUGUCCUAGUAACCGUCGCAAUGACUCCGCAGCAGGCUCGGGGCGGUGGCCGGUGCGGCCGCGUAUUCCCGAAGCCGUGUGCGCACUUUGCGCAGUGUGGGCGGCAGCUCCGCCUCGCAGCCGGAGCUGCCGGGGAGAGGUUGUGUGGAAACUUCGCUGGACCGCUCCCCCCGGAGUCCUGAGCACCCCCUUCCUCUCCUCCCGCCCCACAUGAAGGGUCUCCUUCACCCACCGCCUCUUCCGGCCCUGGGGUGCCGCAGCAGCGCUGUGGGGGCAGGGAGCUGUUCUGCGCAUGCGCGGGUUGCAGCGCCUUUCUAGCACUUUCUGGCGCGCAGCCGCCUGAGGCAGCGGGGCCGGGCGGCCGUUAUCAUGGCAACGGCGCCUCACGCCGCGCGUCGGUUAGGGCCCGGGCGCAGCCCUGGGAGCGUGUCCGUCGCUCUCUGCCUCACCGCCCUGCCCGCGGUUGCCGUUGCCUUCAGAAAUGCUGGGAAGAGCCCAGGAGCACUUGGAGCGGCCCCAGAGGCACCUGGACAACCCUGGAGAGCCUGGGAAGAGCCUCAGAGCAUCUGGAGGAACCAGAGAGCUGCCCCAGCAGCCCCCAGAGGCCCUGGGAGAGCCCUGUGCAGAGCACAGAGGUGCCCAGACAGGACUAGGAAGAUGCGCAUCCUGCUUGUUCUCCACGUUCUGAGCCUGAAGGUGGGAGGCUUAUGCAGUUCACUGCAAGAUAGCUGAGUAAUGCAAAGGCAUUAGGGUCCAGAUUUAUCCCACAUGAUUAUAGGCAUGACAUUGAAUUAAAUUGCUAACUCUGGGUUGCAUUCACGCUGGAGUCAGUGGAAGGGAUUGGCUCAGCCCACUCCAGCUCUGAAGAGCACUCUAACUACACCGUUCUCUUGAACAUAAAGGUAUAUGAGGUAACGAAAUCCAAAAUGUCUCUAUCUUAUACAAGUAUCAAAGGCAGCUGGGAUCAGUCUGGACCAGACUUGCUCAAGAUUUCAUGCAGCUGUGAUGCAUGAUCAGUAAAGACAGCUUUUCCUCCAGGAUGUCAUGUCAUAUCUUCAGAGUAAGAUAAAAAAUGAAUACUGCCUUCUUUCUGAUUAAAAAGAUAGAAGGGAGUUUAAUCUUGUCUGUGUUUUGCUGCUUGCAGUGUUCUGCUGUCUAGGAAAGUAUAUUCAGCACAAAUUAAAUUAUCAUCAAGGCCUGCUCAGAACAGCAUUAGCAGCUUCUGUGCUCAUAAAGCACAGCAAACUCUGCGUAAAAGCAGACUGGGGGGAGCCACUGCAGGGCUGGGAGGAGGUUUGCUGGUAUACAUGCUGCUGUAUUUCCUGCAGAUAGAGGGCUUUUUUUUUCCAGUCAGAAGGCAGAGGGCUGUGCAUUAGUGGCAAAGGUCUGUUUCCUCCCUUCAUUAGAAAUUAUGAGCCUCUGUGGUUCAGCCCUCUCUGCCUUCAGUGUUUGGGAAGCUGUUCAGCAAUGUGUAGAGCGAGAAAUGGUUGCCGCCCCCAGCAUUCAC